This 701-nucleotide long non-coding RNA is filed under the name Astyanax mexicanus (Mexican tetra). RNAcentral's name for it is "lncRNA (ENSAMXG00005011153.1)". The record is from RNAcentral. Lineage: Eukaryota; Metazoa; Chordata; Actinopteri; Characiformes; Acestrorhamphidae.
CUAACCAGCUGCACUCAGAGCUUGCAGGAAGAUCACUAGCUGGACUUAAACCCGGUUCUGUGCUGGAAGGCGGUGAGAAGAAGAUCAGAACAGUUAUGAGAAAAAGAGCUGCUAAGAGAAACUGGAGGAUAAACAGAUAAACAGCAGAAAGAGAGGAUGGAUAAACCGCAGAAAAAGAAGAUGGAUAAACAGCAGAAUAAGAAGAGUGCAGCCAAUAGGACAGAAGUUGAUGAGAGACCGACAGAUGAUGGAAAGAGUAGUAGCAGUGAAAUAAAGAGGAGCAGAAGUUUACCACGACUCAUUAAUUUCUGUGAUGUUCAGAUGAAGGAUUCUUAAAGCUGAAUUCUCCUGAUCAGAUUGUGCUGAAGAGUUUCUACUUAAACCUUUAUAUAUCUGUCUACUUUACAUCAGUUCAUCAUGUUUAUAUUCACUAACACAAUUAUUCAGAGCAAUAAACAUGCAUGAAGUAUCAUUUUUACCUUAUUUAAAAAAUUCUAUUAAGACAUAAAUGUGAAUUUGUUGAUUUGAUAACCUUACAAACUUUAUAUUUAAACCUUGAUGAACACACACUGUUAGAUUCUGUUUUACUGCACUUUUCCAACUCCUAAUAUACAAUCUCUCCUGAUUACUUAAUAAGAAAAAUACUAAUAAUGUUUUAAUAAUGUUUUUAUGUGCAUCUGCGCAUAGAAUGUGUUUUUCUG